CCUACGGGUGGCAGCAGUGGGGAAUCUUGGGCAAUGGGCGCAAGCCUGACCCUGCAACGCCGCGUGAAGGAAGAAGGCUCUUGGGUUGUAAACUCCUUGUCAGUGGGAAGAGCUGAAGACGGUACCUCUUGAAUAAGCCACGGCUAACUACGUGACAGCAGCCGCGGCAGUACGUGGGUGGCAAGCGUUGUCCGGAUUUACUGGGUGUAAAGGGCGUGCAGUCGGGAAGACAAGUCAGAUGUGAAAACCGGCGGAUCAACCACCGACCUGCACAUGAAACUGUUUUUCUGGAGUACCGGAGGGGGCAUCGGAAUUCCUGGUGUAGCAGUGAAAUGCGUAGAUAUAGGGAAGAACACCAGUGGCGAAGGCGGAUGACUGGACAGCAACUGACGGUGAGGCGCGAAGGCGAGGGGAGCGAACGGGAUUAGAUACCCUUGUAGUC
RNAcentral lists this ribosomal RNA (442 nucleotides) under uncultured bacterium. RNAcentral's name for it is "partial 16S ribosomal RNA". It matches the Rfam family "Bacterial small subunit ribosomal RNA", at positions 338 to 795 of the family's 1533-position model. The record is from RNAcentral.